This is a long non-coding RNA of Oncorhynchus keta (chum salmon), 718 nucleotides long. RefSeq lists it as uncharacterized. The transcript is spliced from 3 exons. Lineage: Eukaryota; Metazoa; Chordata; Actinopteri; Salmoniformes; Salmonidae. The record is from RefSeq and is a predicted model, not a curated record.
UCUAACCACUAGGCUACCCUGCCACCCCUCCACUCUAACCACUAGUCUACCCUGCCGCCCCUCCACUCUAACCACUAGGCUACCCUGCCGCCCCUCCACUCUAACCACUAGUCUACCCUGCCGCCCCUCCACUCUAACCACUAGUCUACCCUGCCGCCCCUCCACUCUAACCACUAGGCUACCCUGCCGCCCCUCCACUCUAACCACUAGUCUACCCUGCCGCCCCUCCACUCUAACCACUAGUCUACCCUGCCGCCCCUCCACUCUAACCACUAGGCUACCCUGCCGCCCCUCCACUCUAACCACUAGUCUACCCUGCCGCCCCUCCACUCUAACCACUAGCCUACCCUGCCACCCCUCCACUCUAACCACUAGGCUACCCUGCCGCCCCUCCACUCUAACCACUAGGCUACCCUGCCGCCCCUCCACUCUAACCACUAGUCUACCCUGCCGCCCCUCCACUCUAACCACUAGGCUACCCUGCCGCCCCUCCACUCUAACCACUAGUCUACCCUGCCGCCCCUCCACUCUAACCACUAGCCUACCCUGCCGCCCCUCCACUCUAACCACUAGUCUACCCUGCCGCCCCUCCACUCUAACCACUAGUCUACCCUGCCGCCCCUCCACUCUAACCACUAGUCUACCCUGCCGCCCCUCCACUCUAACCACUAGGCUACCCUGCCGCCCCUCCACUCUAACCACUAGUCUACCCUGCCGC